Molecule: ribosomal RNA, 253 nt
Filed under: uncultured bacterium
Lineage: Bacteria
Description: partial 16S ribosomal RNA
Rfam family: Bacterial small subunit ribosomal RNA
Source: RNAcentral
UACGUAGGGGGCUAGCGUUGUCCGGAUUUAUUGGGCGUAAAGCGCGUGUAGGCGGCCAGGUAGGUCUGCUGUGAAAACUCGAGGCUCAACCUCGAGAUGUCGGCGGAAACCAUCUGGCUAGAGUCCGGAAGAGGAGAGUGGAAUUCCCGGUGUAGUGGUGAAAUGCGUAGAUAUCGGGAGGAACACCAGUGGCGAAGGCGACUACCUGGCCUGUUCUUGACGCUGAGGCGCGAAAGCUAGGGGAGCAAACGGG